UAGAGUUUGAUCCUGGCUCAGAACGAACGCUGGCGGCAUGCCUAAUACAUGCAAGUCGAACGAGAUCUUCGGAUCUAGUGGCGCACGGGUGCGUAACGCGUGGGAAUCUGCCCUUGGGUUCGGAAUAACUUCUGGAAACGGAAGCUAAUACCGGAUGAUGACGUAAGUCCAAAGAUUUAUCGCCCAAGGAUGAGCCCGCGUAGGAUUAGGUAGUUGGUGAGGUAAAGGCUCACCAAGCCGACGAUCCUUAGCUGGUCUGAGAGGAUGAUCAGCCACACUGGGACUGAGACACGGCCCAGACUCCUACGGGAGGCAGCAGUAGGGAAUAUUGGACAAUGGGCGAAAGCCUGAUCCAGCAAUGCCGCGUGAGUGAUGAAGGCCUUAGGGUUGUAAAGCUCUUUUACCCGGGAUGAUAAUGACAGUACCGGGAGAAUAAGCUNCCGGCUAA
RNAcentral lists this ribosomal RNA (448 nucleotides) under Sphingobium yanoikuyae. Its description in RNAcentral is "bacterial SSU rRNA". It matches the Rfam family "Bacterial small subunit ribosomal RNA", at positions 1 to 500 of the family's 1533-position model. The record is from RNAcentral. Lineage: Bacteria; Pseudomonadati; Pseudomonadota; Alphaproteobacteria; Sphingomonadales; Sphingobiaceae.